Cygnus olor (mute swan) is the source of this 2851-nucleotide long non-coding RNA. RefSeq lists it as uncharacterized. The transcript has 6 exons. The record is from RefSeq and is a predicted model, not a curated record. Lineage: Eukaryota; Metazoa; Chordata; Aves; Anseriformes; Anatidae.
GGGCCAUCUUGCUGUAGGGCCGGCGGGGCUCUGCCCGUGGUGCGGAGCCAGAGGGGCGGGUGGCGCCUGCCUGCUAGAGAUAUAGAGCCGGGCUGGAAACGCUCUGUAUGAAGUGGAAGUUUUCAAUGAUGACCAAUAUAUUGUACAGAAGCAGUAAGCCCUUCAUGGAAACACCAUCAGAGCUAGAAGAAUAUAUGGUACACACUAGUGGAUUUUCUUGAAAGCUGUCUUUUGAAUAAUUUGCGGGGAUACAUUAAUAUGAAUGACAUAUGAGCAGUUUUGAAUAAUGGGAAAAUUCAUUAUGAUAGAUUUUCUUGUGACAGCAGGAUUUCCUGGUACAACAGAUAGAGAGAUGCUUGAAGGCUGCUGCUGGAAGGUAUGAAUUCCAAUAAAUGGUAUGAUUAAAUUAAAAAGGUUGUUCUGUUGGAGUAAUGCCCAAAACCAUUGGUAUGUUUGAUCAGUGAAGAACCUGUCUUAAACCUGAUUGCUUGAUGAAAAACACAUCUCUGAUUUGAGAUUAGCGUACUAGAAUUCCUGAACAGGUGAAAUAUUGAUGAUAGACUUCAUGGUUCUUGCAUACCUUAAACUCAGUGAAUUUGUUUUAAAUGUCUAAUGGCUAUUUCUAAAUGACUGCUCUUAAAACUGCAUUGUCAUGUCAACCCUGUUUAAAAGUACAAGGUGACAUUAAAAAAAAUCUAUUUAAAAUGGCAUAUUUAAAACAUAGUGGGGUUUGUGUAAAUGUGUAUCAUGGAAAACAGUGAAAUGUUUCAUCAUCUAUCUUGGUGUUAAACUUAAGUUCUAUCAGUUCCGGUUCAAAAUGAGAUACCCAAUUUCCCUGUUGAUCACAGGAGAAUCCUGUGUGGAAGAACGUUGUCUGGAUGUAAUUUCUUAUGUAAAGCUUGCCUGUUGAUAGAUUUUUAGCUUUUUCUGGAUUUUUUAAUGCUUUGAUACAAGCUGAGAACCAGGUAUUAGCUAAUUCAGAAAUCAAGCCUUUGAGUUUUGGUACAGGGAGACUGAGACUUGACUGGUUAGUUGCCUUUCACAGUUUACAGCCAAGUUAAGCAGUAGCCAGGCAAGAGAUGCAAGAAGACUCUUACUGUGGUAUGAGAACAUUUCCAGUUUGUUUUAUGGAACUUGUGGAGUACUGAUUCUAAUCCAGUACAUGUUUAAUAAUGCAGUUUGGUCUGUGAUCUUCUAUAUAGAUAGGAAGUUGUGUUUGGAGUGAUGGAAGAAAAUCUCUAAACUAAUAUAUUUCUCUUUUCAGGCAUGGAAUUGGCCCAAACCAUAUGAACAAAUGCUUUUAGUUUGUUCAGUGAUGAGUUGGAACAUUUUUGUCAGUGCUGCCUGACAAAUGUGGAUGAUCUGUAACUGGAAGAAAGUGUAAUGUCUGAAGAGCUUUUCUCGCCUGGAGUGGGACCAUGCUUUUUAAAAUCCUACUGAGACAGUUGUUGCAAUUGUUUAGCAGAUACUGUUUUCAAAAACUGCAUGUGAACCAAAAUCACUGUCUGCAUAUUUAAAAAACACUUUUCCCUAAAUAACAAGCUGCCAACUGUAGGAAGGAUAAUACUAGUAUCAGAGAAAUGAGUGGUGAGCUUUAUGUGGAAAAGAAACCCUGAGUUUAUUGACCCCCUUCAAAAUAUCAGUAUCAGACUUGCUGAUGCUGAGCAUCUGUAAUAACUCAAAACAAUGGAAGUUGCAGGUAGGCUGUGCACAGUUGGUUACACAAAUUUAAACAGUCUGAUUCUUGAAGGUGGUGUCAUCUGGGAGAUAGAUGAGGUGGUGGUGUGGAAACAUAAACUUGAAACACUUGUAAGGAGGGAAUUUAGGUGUCAUGAGGGAAGUUGUGGUUACAGAAAAGGCAUGGACUAAAGCUUCCUCUGCACUGGCUUCUGUAUUGGUUGGGGGAGAAGGAAGGUGGGGCUGCUUCCUAGGCUGCCAGUUUAGUGUGAGAAGACCAAUACCACAAUGGAACUGUUCCUUUCGAGGAAAACAUGUUUACCUGUUACCUGUUUGCUGUGCGAGGGGAAAUGUCAGAGGGAGGAGUUGGAUGCACAUUGGAACUUCUGCUUGGAGCAGUCACUUGAAAAUUAACCAUGCAGUAAUGUGUUAGCAGUGCAUUUGUGUGCAGCAAACAAGCACUCCUCCACAAAGGGGGAGGGAUCAUGAAUUGGUUGCCUAAGUUGUCUUUAAAGACAAAUUAUGUACCUAAGACACAAUCCACCUUUAAGCGUGGCUGUUAAACCUAAUUGUCAGGAAUGCUUUCUAAAGGAAGGAAUACAACGGUGGCAUGAUAACCAGCAAUUAAUAAAGCUACAGUUUCAGUAUUUUGGUACAUUCCAAAAGGAUUCAGUAACCACCCUGUAGUCUGCAGCCAGAAAUGACAGCAUUGGAUGCUAGCAAUCAACUUCCUUUAGAAAGUUGGAAGAAUUCCUACAGCUCAUGGAAUAUGCUAAUUUGUAAAUAACAUACCACAGAAAUGCAAAACACUGAGCAGUAGCAUCUAAAACUUUGGGGAGGUCUGAAAUGAGUAACCAUCUGACUGCAAAGAUGUAUACUAAUGGUCUGACUGCAGGCCAGGUGUGUAUUGGCUUGCUGAGUAUCUCAUCUGCUUUGGUUAUUGUUAGUGAGCAGUAACCAGCUACUUUGGCCAAAGCCUGCUCAUUCUCCACAAGUAACUGUGUAAAUCAGUCUGUUGGAUGUAUCAGAAGCUGCAGAAUGCUGUUACAGAAGAACUCGAUUGCUUUCAACAAAAUCGCCUAUUUUUGUUAAAUGUUGCUGAGAAAGGGUAGGUAUUUCUAUGUGCAAUGCUUUGUACAUGCUCUUUCUUGAAUAAAGAAGGAUGUGAAAAACC